This 201-nucleotide small nuclear RNA is filed under the name Oncorhynchus mykiss (rainbow trout). RNAcentral describes it as "U2 spliceosomal RNA (ENSOMYG00000071578.1)". It matches the Rfam family "U2 spliceosomal RNA". Rfam says of the family: U2 is a small nuclear RNA (snRNA) component of the spliceosome (involved in pre-mRNA splicing). Lineage: Eukaryota; Metazoa; Chordata; Actinopteri; Salmoniformes; Salmonidae. The record is from RNAcentral.
AUCGCUUCUCGGCCUUUUGGCCUUUUGCUCAGAUCAAGUGUAGUAUCUGUUCUUAUCAGUUUAAUAUCUGAUACGUCCCCCAUCGGGGGACUACAUAUUAAAUGGAUUUUUCGAACAGGGAGUCGGAAAUGGGGCUUGCUCCGUCCGCUCCACGCAUCGACGACCCGGUAUUGCAGUACCUCCGGGAACGGUGCAACACUU